Numida meleagris (helmeted guineafowl) is the source of this 477-nucleotide long non-coding RNA. NCBI's taxonomy places the organism in Eukaryota, Metazoa, Chordata, Aves, Galliformes, Numididae. The record is from Ensembl.
AUGGCAGUUCAAGAUGAAAACAUGGAUUUUCAGAUACGAGGGUACUGGUUACCGUUUCUGCCAUAUGUUUCUGCAUUCUUGAUCCACAUCCAUCUGGCUCAGAAAUCUGUCAGGAGAUGUACAGAACAACACUGAAUCUGAAUCCCUCCAGUGUUGCAGAAGGAGAAUUGGAGUUUAACCUAUACGAAGCCAGAGACUUGCAUUUCAUCUUCCACCAAAGCUAGAGGAGACUUACAUUUCAGCUUCCCACCCAAAUGUUUCUACAGAAUUUUGCCCCAAGAAAACAGCAGUCUGGUGGGGAUGCUUUAAUUUGGGCACUAUGUCUGAAAAUCUGAUUGAUAGAUGGAUAGAAGCUUGAAGAAUACAUCAUGAUGAAAUUCCAGUUUUGAUGCAGAGGUGGAAUAUGUAUAAUCUUAUUUCUCCAGCUAAUUUGUAUCAAUUAAUAAAUAUAUUAUUUCACUUUUUUGAAAUAAUUAU